This 254-nucleotide ribosomal RNA is filed under the name uncultured bacterium. Its description in RNAcentral is "partial 16S ribosomal RNA". It matches the Rfam family "Bacterial small subunit ribosomal RNA", at positions 524 to 776 of the family's 1533-position model. The record is from RNAcentral.
UACAGAGGGUGCGAGCGUUGUUCGGAAUUACUGGGCGUAAAGGGCGCGUAGGCGGCGCGAUAAGUUGGGCGUGAAAGGCCCGGGCUCAACCCGGGGACUGCGCUUGAUACUGUCGCGCUGUGAGUCCGGGAGAGGAUGGCGGAAUUCCCAGUGUAGAGGUGAAAUUCGUAGAUAUUGGGAAGAACACCGGUGGCGAAGGCGGGUCUCUGGGCCGAAAUUGACGCUGAGGAGCGAAAGCGUGGGGAGCAAACAGG